AUCUUCGGGGCGGGGCGCAAUUCCCCACCGGCGGUACAGCCCGCGAGCGUUUUCCGAGGGACGGAGUUCCGGAAAACCGCAUGAUUCGGUGAGAUUCCGAAGCCGACAGUAUAGUCUGGAUGAAAGAAGAUG
This 132-nucleotide non-coding RNA is filed under the name human gut metagenome. RNAcentral describes it as "FMN riboswitch (RFN element)". It matches the Rfam family "FMN riboswitch aptamer (RFN element)". Rfam says of the family: The RFN element is a highly conserved domain that is found frequently in the 5'-untranslated regions of prokaryotic mRNAs that encode for flavin mononucleotide (FMN) biosynthesis and transport proteins. This element is a metabolite-dependent riboswitch that directly binds FMN in the absence of proteins. RNAcentral also lists the same sequence under 1 other name. The record is from RNAcentral.